AUGCUGAAGCGAAGACAUGUGGAGGAAAUUGACUUCUGUGAAAGUUGUGGGCAGCCGGAAACUUCGAUGCAUGCAAUUUUUCAUUGUACUUGGGCUCGGAGUUUUUGGGACGAGAUUAAAAUUCUAACUGGCAUUAAAAUUCCCAAACUUCACCCGCAGUCGUGGACACUUGAUCUUGUUGAUGGAACCAAGGUUUCUCAAGCAGAUGCUUGCGUUAUUUGUUGUGGUGCGUGGGCAAUAUGGACUGAGCGAAAUACAAGAAGACAUGGGGAGGCUGGACGUACCAUAGCGCAAUCUGUCAAAUGGGUUACUGAUAUAGUGAUGGAUUUGGUUAUGGCAGGAAAAGAAAACUUAGUUAAGGCGCCGAAGGUGAAAGCUAAAUGGUCACCACCUGAAAAUGGAGUGAUCAAGGUGAAUGUUGAUGCCUCCUUUGAUGAGAAUACCAAUCAAGGGUCUUCCGGGCUGGUGAUCCGUGAUAGUUUUGGCAAUCUCCUACGUGCACAGGCCCUUUGGUAUGAGUUUGCAGCAAGCUCGAUGGCAAUGGAAGCUGAGGCGAUUCGGGAUGGGGUGCAAGUGACCCUGGAGAGAGGCUUCCGUAGAGUUGUCGUCGAGAGCGACGCUCAAGCAAUCAUAAAGCUGUGGGAGACAGAAGAUUUUGAUCGUGCUGAGAUCGUUGGAGUUCUUCACGAGAUCAAAGAACUGAGUGCACAAUUUAAGAGUUUUAGGCUAAUUUUCGUACGAAGAGACGCUAAUGAGGCGGCCCACUUAUGUGCGAAGCAGGCGACAAAUGUUAGGAGGAGAUGCUUAUGGCUUAAUUGCGUUCCAGUAUUCCUAACGGAUACGUUGUAUCAUGAUUGUAUGCCUGAUUAG
RNAcentral lists this ribosomal RNA (870 nucleotides) under Triticum aestivum (bread wheat). Its description in RNAcentral is "partial small subunit ribosomal RNA". Lineage: Eukaryota; Viridiplantae; Streptophyta; Magnoliopsida; Poales; Poaceae. The record is from RNAcentral.